Molecule: microRNA precursor, 60 nt
Organism: Acanthochromis polyacanthus (spiny chromis)
Lineage: Eukaryota; Metazoa; Chordata; Actinopteri; Pomacentridae
Source: Ensembl
UGUAAACAUCCUACACUCUCAGCUGUGUUGUCAUGGAGCUGGGAGAGGGGUGUUUACGCU